RNAcentral lists this ribosomal RNA (142 nucleotides) under Sphingobacterium paucimobilis HER1398. RNAcentral's name for it is "partial 23S ribosomal RNA". It matches the Rfam family "Bacterial large subunit ribosomal RNA", at positions 2769 to 2925 of the family's 2925-position model. The record is from RNAcentral. Lineage: Bacteria; Pseudomonadati; Bacteroidota; Sphingobacteriia; Sphingobacteriales; Sphingobacteriaceae.
CGCUGAAAGCAUCUAAGUGCGAAACUAGCCACGAGAUGAGACUUCCUUACAGGGUCGUUGGAGAUGACAACGUUGAUAGGCUACAGGUGUAAAGGUUGAGAGACCAAAGCCGAGUAGUACUAAUAGCCCGAAGCUUUCCAAG